RNAcentral lists this ribosomal RNA (353 nucleotides) under uncultured bacterium. RNAcentral's name for it is "bacterial SSU rRNA". It matches the Rfam family "Bacterial small subunit ribosomal RNA", at positions 1037 to 1390 of the family's 1533-position model. The record is from RNAcentral.
GGUGUUGCAUGGCUGUCGUCAGCUCGUGUCGUGAGAUGUUGGGUUAAGUCCCGCAACGAGCGCAACCCUCAUCCUUAGUUACCAUCAGGUAAUGCUGGGACUUUAAGGAAACUGCCAGUGAUAAACUGGAGGAAGGUGGGGAUGAUGUCAAGUCAUCAUGGCCCUUAUGGAGUGGGCUACACACGUGCUACAAUGGUGGCUACAAUGGGCUGCAAAGUCGCGAGGCUAAGCUAAUCCCUUAAAAGCCAUCUCAGUUCGGAUUGCACUCUGCAACUCGAGUGCAUGAAGUUGGAAUCGCUAGUAAUCGUGGAUCAGCACGCCACGGUGAAUACGUUCCCGGGUCUUGUACACAC